AACGAACGCUGGCGGCAUGCCUAACACAUGCAAGUCGAACGAGACCUUCGGGUCUAGGGGCGCACGGGGGCGUAACGCGGGGGAACCUGCCCGUAGGUUCGGAAUAACUCCCCGAAAGGGGUGCUAAUACCGGAUAAUGUCAUCGGACCAAAGAUUUAUCGCCUGGGGAUGGGGGCGCGUCGGAUUAGCUGGUUGGUAGGGGAGAAGCUUACCAAGGCGACGAUGCAUCGCUGGUCGGAGAGGAUGACCGGCCACAUGGGGACUGAGAAACGGCCCAGACUCCUACGGUAGGCAGCAGUGGGGAAUAUUGCACAAUGGGCGGAAGCCUGAUGCAGCAACGCCGCGUGCGGGAUGACGGCCUUCGGGUUGGAAACCGCUUUCGCCUGUGACGAAGCGUGAGUGACGGUAAGGGGUAAAGAAGCACCGGCUAACUACGUG
This 438-nucleotide ribosomal RNA is filed under the name uncultured bacterium. Its description in RNAcentral is "partial 16S ribosomal RNA". It matches the Rfam family "Bacterial small subunit ribosomal RNA", at positions 29 to 507 of the family's 1533-position model. The record is from RNAcentral.